GGGGGAUUAGCUCAGCUGGGAGAGCGCUUGAAUGGCAUUCAAGAGGUCAGGGGUUCGAUCCCCCUAUUCUCCACCA
This 76-nucleotide transfer RNA is filed under the name Oscillospiraceae bacterium. Its description in RNAcentral is "tRNA-Ala". It matches the Rfam family "tRNA". From Rfam's summary of the family: Transfer RNA (tRNA) molecules are approximately 80 nucleotides in length. Their secondary structure includes four short double-helical elements and three loops (D, anti-codon, and T loops). Further hydrogen bonds mediate the characteristic L-shaped molecular structure. tRNAs have two regions of fundamental functional importance: the anti-codon, which is responsible for specific mRNA codon recognition, and the 3' end, to which the tRNAs corresponding amino acid is attached (by aminoacyl-tRNA synthetases). tRNAs cope with the degeneracy of the genetic code in two manners: having more than one tRNA (with a specific anti-codon) for a particular amino acid; and 'wobble' base-pairing, i.e. permitting non-standard base-pairing at the 3rd anti-codon position. Lineage: Bacteria; Bacillati; Bacillota; Clostridia; Eubacteriales; Oscillospiraceae. The record is from RNAcentral.